GUGGGGAAUAUUGGACAAUGGGCGAAAGCCUGAUCCAGCAAUGCCGCGUGAGUGAUGAAGGCCUUAGGGUUGUAAAGCUCUUUUACCAGGGAUGAUAAUGACAGUACCUGGAGAAUAAGCUCCGGCUAACUCCGUGCCAGCAGCCACGGUAAUACGGAGGGAGCUAGCGUUGUUCGGAAUUACUGGGCGUAAAGCGCACGUAGGCGGUUACUCAAGUCAGAGGUGAAAGCCCGGGGCUCAACCCCGGAACUGCCUUUGAAACUAGGUAACUGGAAUCUUGGAGAGGUCAGUGGAAUUCCGAGUGUAGAGGUGAAAUUCGUAGAUAUUCGGAAGAACACCAGUGGCGAAGGCGACUGACUGGACAAGUAUUGACGCUGAGGUGCGAAAGCGUGGGGAGCAAACAGGAUUAGAAACCCGAGUAGUCC
Molecule: ribosomal RNA, 425 nt
Filed under: uncultured bacterium
Lineage: Bacteria
Description: partial 16S ribosomal RNA
Rfam family: Bacterial small subunit ribosomal RNA
Source: RNAcentral